CCCUUAGAUGUUCUGGGCUGCACGCGCGCUACACUGAAGCUAUCAACACGUUUUCCCUCCCUGAGAAGGGCGGGUAACCUUUUGAAUCAGCUUCGUGGUAGGGAUCGGGGCUUGCAAUUGUUCCCCGUGAACCAGGAAUUCCUAGUAGACGCGAGUCAUAAGCUCGCAUCGAUUAAGUCCCUGCCCUUUGUACACACCGCCCGUCGCUACUACCGAUUGAACGUUUUAGUGAGGCAUUUGGACUGACGCAUCUCAGUUUAACCGCUGGUUUGUGUUGGAAAGACUUCCAAACUUGAGCGUUUAGAGGAAGUAAAAGUCGUAACA
This 324-nucleotide ribosomal RNA is filed under the name uncultured eukaryote. Its description in RNAcentral is "partial 18S ribosomal RNA". It matches the Rfam family "Eukaryotic small subunit ribosomal RNA", at positions 1470 to 1796 of the family's 1831-position model. The record is from RNAcentral.